Paramuricea clavata is the source of this 1134-nucleotide non-coding RNA. The record is from the annotation of a GenBank genome assembly. NCBI's taxonomy places the organism in Eukaryota, Metazoa, Cnidaria, Anthozoa, Malacalcyonacea, Plexauridae.
GGUUGCUUUUCAUUAGGCCGUGUGUCAGUAAGUAUAACAGUUAUUUACAAUAUCGAAAAGAAAAUAAACAAAAACACAGAAAUAGAAAUACAUUCACUCUACUUUAUUCCUUUCGUUCCAAAUUUUAGCAGCAGCACAGCCAAAGGUGCGAACCAUAGAAUUUGUUUUCAGUUUGGGCAAUGUUAAAUUUUUUUUUGCUUCUUAAAUCAUAUCUUUCAGAAUUCGAUAUUUUAAAAUUUUUAGCUAUAUUUUCCGGGCAAUUACCGGUAAUAGCUUUCAAAACAUACGCACUUGCUUUUUCUUUUCUUUUUUCGGAUAGGUCUUUCCAAUUCAACUUUUUUUAAAUAUCUUUUGAGCGUAUAUCAUAAGUAUCACGUGUAAUGACCUAACUGCUGUCCUGUUUUGAAGUUUCUGCAGUUUUUCCUUCAGGGAUUCGCCGCAGUUGCCCCAAACCAGUGCAAUACUCAAAAUAAUAGGUUCAACCAUAUAAUUAUAAAGAAAUUGAAGCGUUUCUCUUUUAACAAACUGUUUAGCUCGUCGUAACAUGCCGAUGCUUUGAGAUACUUUCUUACUUAUGUCAUCAAUUUGUCAAUCUAUCCCAGCGUAAUUGAUCAUCUAUUAUUGUGCCUAAGACUUAUUUAGAAACGACUUGUGUUAAGUUUUUCCCACCGAUGUUAAUAUUCAUGUCACUUGAGAAAUUUUUGAAUUUCUGCCGUGUUCCGAUAAUCAUAUACUCCGUUUUAUCAACAUUCAAAGUUAAUUUAUUGGCUACGACUAUCCACUGAUGGAUAUUGUUCAAGUUCGAAUUCAAAAUGGCUUGUAAAUAGUUAACAUCAUCAGAACACGCCGUCAAAUUCGUAUCAUCCGCAUACAUUUCAGCACUAUAGUGUUUGAGACAGUUCGGUAGCGAUCGUUGACAUACAAGAGAAAUAACAAUGGACUGAGAUUUGAACCCUGUAGUACUCCACAGCGUAUAUUUUUUGUUGACGAUGCUGCACUCGCUACCUUGCAAAACUGUUUUCGAUCAAAUAAAUAUGAAAUAAACCACUUGAGGGCAGUAUUUUUAACUGCUUAAUAAGGAUUUCAUGAUCAACCGCAUCAAAUGCUUUACGCAGAUCAAGUCCAGCAUCCAUA